UAUUAUUAUUUUGGCAGAUUAGUGCGGUGAAUUUAGAAUUCAUAAAUGUAAGUUAUUCUUACAAGUAAUA
RNAcentral lists this transfer RNA (70 nucleotides) under Ilybius similis. Its description in RNAcentral is "transfer RNA-Leu". It matches the Rfam family "tRNA". Rfam says of the family: Transfer RNA (tRNA) molecules are approximately 80 nucleotides in length. Their secondary structure includes four short double-helical elements and three loops (D, anti-codon, and T loops). Lineage: Eukaryota; Metazoa; Arthropoda; Insecta; Coleoptera; Dytiscidae. The record is from RNAcentral.